GACGAACGCUGGCGGCGUGCUUAACACAUGCAAGUCGAACGGAAAGGCCCUGCUUUUGUGGGGUGCUCGAGUGGCGAACGGGUGAGUAACACGUGAGUAACCUGCCCUUGACUUUGGGAUAACUUCAGGAAACUGGGGCUAAUAUCGGAUAGGAGCUCCUGCUGCAUGGUGGGGGUUGGAAAGUUUCGGCGGUUGGGGAUGGACUCGCGGCUUAUCAGCUUGUUGGUGGGGUAGUGGCUUACCAAGGCUUUGACGGGUAGCCGGCCUGAGAGGGUGACCGGCCACAUUGGGACUGAGAUACGGCCCAGACUCCUACGGGGGGCAGCAGUGGGGAGUAUUACACAGUGGGCGGAAGCCUGAUGCGGCGGCGCCGCGUGCGGGAUGACGGCCUUCGGGUUGUAAACCGCUUUCGCCUGUGACGAAGCGUGAGUGACGGUAAUGAGUAAAGAAGCACCGGCUAACUACGUG
This 468-nucleotide ribosomal RNA is filed under the name uncultured bacterium. RNAcentral describes it as "partial 16S ribosomal RNA". It matches the Rfam family "Bacterial small subunit ribosomal RNA", at positions 28 to 507 of the family's 1533-position model. The record is from RNAcentral.